RNAcentral lists this long non-coding RNA (673 nucleotides) under Podarcis muralis (Common wall lizard). RNAcentral's name for it is "lncRNA (ENSPMRG00000009194.1)". Lineage: Eukaryota; Metazoa; Chordata; Lepidosauria; Squamata; Lacertidae. The record is from RNAcentral.
GACAGAAACUAAAUAGCAGUUCUGAGCCACAUGUUAAAGACUUAAACACUUAUUUUUCGGUUGCAAGGAAAGCUAUUAAAUUGAACAGCGGCACUUUUUUGGCUGAAGUGUUUUGCAGAAUAGGAGAAUGUGCAGGAAAAUGAUACUUUAUCUGCUCUUUGCAAAGGAAGACACAAUGCCAGCUUGAGGAUUUGGGGGCCCUUUGGGUGAGGCACUCUCAAAGAGUCUCAGCAGGUCAUUCUCUCACCCUUUCUUUAUUCUUCUUGGGUUCUCCCUGUAAAGAAAGAGUGGGAUCAUGGCAUGAUGGGUUCUUUGCCUCUUUUGAGGCCCUGGCAAAUGCCAGGCCAUAAAACCUUCUGAAGCCUGCCCUUGAAGGAAACAACCUCAUACUACAAUUAUGCCAGCCAGCCAGGUAUGAAAAAUGGAGAAGCGACAAUUGCUGUCUUUCUUCUGACAAUGCAGUUAUGGAAAGAGAGAAAAAGUGAGCAGAUUCUCCUGAAAGGAAGAUGCAGAGAAGAAGCAGGGGAGGAGACCGCACUGCUGGCAUGUUGUCUUCACUACAGUGGUACCUUGGGUUACAAACACUUCAGGUUACAGAUGCUUCAGGUAACAGACUCCGCUAACCCAGAAAUAUUACCUCAGGUUAAGAACUUUGCUUCAGAAUGAGAACAGA